RNAcentral lists this ribosomal RNA (826 nucleotides) under Bacillus sp. Bac40W2. RNAcentral describes it as "bacterial SSU rRNA". It matches the Rfam family "Bacterial small subunit ribosomal RNA", at positions 35 to 850 of the family's 1533-position model. Lineage: Bacteria; Bacillati; Bacillota; Bacilli; Caryophanales; Bacillaceae. The record is from RNAcentral.
GCUGGCGGCGUCCGUUAUCAUGCAAGUCGAGCGAACUGAAUUAGAAGCUUGCUUCUAUGACGUUAGCGGCGGACGGGUGAGUAACACGUGGGCAACCUGCCUGUAAGACUGGGAUAACUUCGGGAAACCGAAGCUAAUACCGGAUAGGAUCUUCUCCUUCAUGGGAGAUGAUUGAAAGAUGGUUUCGGCUAUCACUUACAGAUGGGCCCGCGGUGCAUUAGCUAGUUGGUGAGGUAACGGCUCACCAAGGCAACGAUGCAUAGCCGACCUGAGAGGGUGAUCGGCCACACUGGGACUGAGACACGGCCCAGACUCCUACGGGAGGCAGCAGUAGGGAAUCUUCCGCAAUGGACGAAAGUCUGACGGAGCAACGCCGCGUGAGUGAUGAAGGCUUUCGGGUCGUAAAACUCUGUUGUUAGGGAAGAACAAGUACAAGAGUAACUGCUGUACCUUGACGGUACCUAACCAGAAAGCCACGGCUAACUACGUGCCAGCAGCCGCGGUAAUACGUAGGUGGCAAGCGUUAUCCGGAAUUAUUGGGCGUAAAGCGCGCGCAGGCGGUUUCUUAAGUCUGAUGUGAAAGCCCACGGCUCAACCGUGGAGGGUCAUUGGAAACUGGGGAACUUGAGUGCAGAAGAGAAAAGCGGAAUUCCACGUGUAGCGGUGAAAUGCGUAAAGAUGUGGAGGAACACCAGUGGCGAAGGCGGCUUUUUGGUCUGUAACUGACCCUGAGGCGCGAAAGCGUGGGGAGCAACAGGAUUAAAUACCCUGGUAUCCCCCCCUAACAAUGAUGCUAAUGUUAAAGGGUUCCCCCCUUUAUGCUGCA